This is an unclassified non-coding RNA of Otolemur garnettii (small-eared galago), 100 nucleotides long. It matches the Rfam family "Y RNA". Rfam says of the family: Y RNAs are components of the Ro ribonucleoprotein particle (Ro RNP), in association with Ro60 and La proteins. The Y RNAs and Ro60 and La proteins are well conserved, but the function of the Ro RNP is not known. Lineage: Eukaryota; Metazoa; Chordata; Mammalia; Primates; Galagidae. The record is from Ensembl.
GGCUGGCCUAAAGGUCGUGAGUGAUCUCAGUUGAUUGUUCAUAGUUAGAACUCAUUCUGUUCUUUCCUCCCUUCCCACUACUGCACUUGACUCGUCUUUA